This is a non-coding RNA of Vicia faba (fava bean), 255 nucleotides long. The record is from the annotation of a GenBank genome assembly. Lineage: Eukaryota; Viridiplantae; Streptophyta; Magnoliopsida; Fabales; Fabaceae.
AUGGGAAACAACCACAACUCUAACCUAAGAAAGAAUUGCACUUCUUUUGAAGGCACCAACACUGCUACAAGAGCAUGCUUUGGAGACUCCUUUAGAGUUGACAUGAUCCACAGAAAAGAAAAUAACAACACAGACGUUUGGAGUGCAAAAUACCAAAUAGGUGAGAAACUAGAGCCAGAUGUUGAUCUUCAACUGCGAGUCAAACAAGAGAACAGAAGCCUUGAGAGCAUACGUUUCGCAUUAUAUACUGUUUAA